GUUGUGAUGGGUUUUGGAUUUUUAUUAAUUAUUUUCAGACCCCUUUGUUCUCGUUCUUCAUGGUUAUUUGGUGAUAUUUUAAUCUUUUAAGCUGGGAUUCGUUGCUAAUAUGGUUGAGGCAAAAUGAGGCGGUCCCUGAGAGUAAUCUCAGAGCAGCACAGAAGUGUAAAGAAGCAUCCAAGGGUGGAGUAAAACAAUAAUUCAAUACGGUAACUCGACUCCAUCACUGGCUCUGCGUUAUUUAAGGCUCCAACCAUAUCAGAUUUUCUCUUUCUUCCUCAUGGCAAAAGAUUACACUCAAAAUAAGAGGAUGUGUAGAGCAUCUGUAUCUGUAACUGCAGAAAAGAUGGCACUGACUGAGUUGUCAAUGUGUGCUAAGGCUGAAAGUGCACCAUCAAAAGCUCACCAGGAAUACAUCAGUCCCACACUGACAUGCAAAACCAUCAGCCGACAUCUUAUAAGCAUUCAGAUGGUUAUGUUUAUAGUGAAGCAUCCAGCAAAAGUAUUGUAAGACUUCAUACACGCUCACCGAAUUUAAACUACAACAGUGCAUAAAAGCUUAAUCUAUUUGUUUUAACUGGACUUUUUGACUGACCUGCUCUCUGAGAUUUAUUUUCACCAUUUAGCUGCAUCAGUUUUUUUUAUUCCCCCUCUCUCAUUUCCACUUUUCAUUUGACCGUCCAUUACGCUGGAAGUCGUCUAAUGUGCUGUGCAGAGAAGCACUUACCUACUGCAGCCGUGCCGGGUGAAAAACAGAGAGGGGUGGGCUGGGCGAGGGCACACAGUGUAAGGUGAAUCUGAUGAGAUCCUUCUCGUUCCUGACUUUGUCUAUUUUGUCCCAGUUCUUCUGAACUAAACUCAAAAUAGUGCAGAAGAGUGCUUCAAUUGAUUGUGUUCUUUCCAAAGGAACUCGUUAAGACCUUCGGGCUGUGUUUUGGUUUUAUGUUGUUUCUCCCAGUUCCUAUGUCCCUGAGAGGACUCUCUUCAUACUGUCAUGGUCCUUGGCUUUGUGCUGUUUUGGGGUUUUGAAUUCUUAAUUAAGAUAUUUGGAUUUCUGUUUUGGGUUUUAUAGACUGGACUUUAGAUUUCUGUGUUUGUUGUUUAUUAUCUUUAUUCAGUCUUUGGUUCCAGUGUUAUACUUUAUGGUUUUCCUGGUAAUGACUUUCUGUUUUGUGUGUUUUGGCUCCUCUUUAACUUUCAUGUUCUUACAGUGACUUUGGGUAUUUCUGGUUUCUUUGGUUUCUGUUAUUAGUUUCUUCUUAGUCUUCUUGUUUCCACCCUCUUCUCUUUAGUCCAGCUUUCUUUAUCAUUGUCCUUCUUUUCCCCCCCGAAUUAGCCCAUUCAUGUUUAGUCUUUCUUUGUUUCAGAAAUGGUUGGUUGUUCAUUUCCUGUUUUAUUUUGAUAGUUGUCUGUUGGUCUGAUUGUCCUCACCUGUGUCUGAUCCUAAUCAGCACUCUGUGUAUAUGCAGUCUUAUCUUCCCUCUAUUAAGACAUCUUUUGAUGUGCCUGCCCUAUGUUGACCUCUUUGUUUUUUGUGGAUUUUGUUCUCAUUUGGACUUCAUUUCAUUGGCCAUCAAAGCCUGCUAUUUGUUGGGGCUUUCUGACUUCUGCCUCCUACAUACAAAGGUCAUAACAAGAAGAACAGAUUGUAAUGGAUCUUGUUUCCUUGAACCGAUGAAGCCAAGGGGUGUACUACGAAGUGAGACUGGUGGGUUAGUGAGCAACGUUGAGUUUAAGGCUUCUUUUAAAACAUCCCCACUGCUUUCUCCUCUACAGCUUGAGGGACUCACCCGCUCCAGCUGGAUGUAGAACGUCUGGUCCCAGCUCAGUCUGCUGAUGGCUGCCCAGCACGUCUGGCCGACCACUCUGCCGUCCAGCCUGAGCACGCCACUGAUCUCUGCGCUGUGAAGCACAAAAUCACCCCGAGUGAGACCCGAUCUGAAUGCUCGCCGCAUACAGAGCAACUCCAGGAUUUGUCUCCUCGUUACAUCAUCAUCAUGAGGCUUUUUUUUUUUUUGCCAUCUUUUUUUUUUUUUUGCCUUUUUAGCCUCCAGCAGGGAGAGAUGGGCUUACAAGUGAACUGUCCAAAACCAGCAGAUUACAUGUCUGAUUAUCCACUGCCAGAGGUCAGCGUAUGGUUAGCCAUGUUCCAACACUGGGCAGGCAUGGUGCCGCUAGAAAGAGCUAUGUGUUAGAGAGAAAAAAACAUAAAGCUUUCUUUGAGAUGUAGGUGUUUGAGCAAAUUAAUGUUAGGAGAGAUUUUUAAAGAUCAGUAAUAAUUUCACACAGAUUUCCUGGGAAUAACUACUUAAAAAUAGUGUUAAUUAGUACACUUGCAAUUAGUUAAAUCCAGUUAUUUUCCGGUCUUCUGAAUGUACUAACACAUGAAAUGUGUCUAUAAUUAAACAUAUGAUUCUGUAAUAAGUGAA
Long non-coding RNA from Oreochromis niloticus (Nile tilapia), 2429 nucleotides. RefSeq lists it as uncharacterized. The record is from RefSeq and is a predicted model, not a curated record. The transcript is spliced from 7 exons. Lineage: Eukaryota; Metazoa; Chordata; Actinopteri; Cichliformes; Cichlidae.